This 252-nucleotide ribosomal RNA is filed under the name uncultured bacterium. Its description in RNAcentral is "partial 16S ribosomal RNA". It matches the Rfam family "Bacterial small subunit ribosomal RNA", at positions 524 to 776 of the family's 1533-position model. The record is from RNAcentral.
UACAGAGGUCUCAACCGUUGUUCGGAUUCAUUGGGCGUAAAGGGUGCGUAGGCGGUCGCGCAAGUCGGAUGUGAAAUCUCAGGGCUCAACCCUGAACUGCAUUCGAUACUGCGUGGCUAGAGUGCUGGAGAGGAGACUGGAAUUUACGGUGUAGCAGUGAAAUGCGUAGAUAUCGUAAGGAAGACCAGUGGCGAAGGCGAGUCUCUGGACAGCAACUGACGCUGAGGCACGAAGGCCAGGGGAGCAAACGGG